GGAACACUAGUCUAUGCGAGGACGUCCCGCUGUUAACGGGAAAGAGGGCGUAUAGCUCGUGUUCUU
Molecule: non-coding RNA, 66 nt
Organism: Mizuhopecten yessoensis (Yesso scallop)
Lineage: Eukaryota; Metazoa; Mollusca; Bivalvia; Pectinida; Pectinidae
Source: the annotation of a RefSeq genome assembly